GUAGCUCAGUGGUAGAGCACAUCUUUAGCACAAAUGAGGCCCUGGGUUCAAUUGCCAGC
This 59-nucleotide transfer RNA is filed under the name Heterocephalus glaber (naked mole-rat). It matches the Rfam family "tRNA", at positions 7 to 64 of the family's 71-position model. Rfam says of the family: Transfer RNA (tRNA) molecules are approximately 80 nucleotides in length. Lineage: Eukaryota; Metazoa; Chordata; Mammalia; Rodentia; Bathyergidae. The record is from Rfam by way of RNAcentral.